UUCUCGUUCGUGUUAUAGAAAAAAAAAAAAACUUAUUUUUAGGGGAAAUGAUUUAAAGUGAAAUUUUUAUUAAAUUAAAAAUGAGCUGUUUUGAAACAACACUUCUUUGAUAGAAGAAAUUUUGCGUAUCGGUAAUUUUUGUUUUGUGUUGCAGGAUGUAUUUUGGAAUGAAAUAAACUCAUCCUCAUCAAGUUGCGGCUCUAUUUUUAUGGGAAUCUGAACACGGAAUAAUUGAGCUCUUUGUUUCUGACGCUAGAAAAUGACAUUCAUGCUCCUUUGAGCGACAAGAGUUAUGGUUUGCGACAGAAGAAGAUGGUAAGAAGAUAACUACAUCUCGCGUGAAUUUUAUACAUACUAUUUUUAAAUUGUCAUGUAAAAUAAAAUAUUUUUCACUAAAAUUAUAGCAUGUCUAAAUCUAAAAUUUACGUCUGCACCUGAUCUUGGUCCGCUUGUGGAACAAUUAAGAACAGGUGAUUUGACUUUUUCUAAGAAAAUA
Molecule: non-coding RNA, 496 nt
Organism: Parasteatoda tepidariorum (common house spider)
Lineage: Eukaryota; Metazoa; Arthropoda; Arachnida; Araneae; Theridiidae
Source: RefSeq, a predicted model, not a curated record